This 351-nucleotide unclassified non-coding RNA is filed under the name soil metagenome. RNAcentral describes it as "partial contains 5.8S ribosomal RNA, internal transcribed spacer 2, and large subunit ribosomal RNA". The stretch from base 1 to 120 matches the Rfam family "5.8S ribosomal RNA", at positions 35 to 154 of the family's 154-position model. The record is from RNAcentral.
GAUGAAGAACGCAGUGAAAUGCGAUAAGUAAUGUGAAUUGCAGAAUUCAGUGAAUCAUCGAAUCUUUGAACGCACAUUGCGCCCGCGAGUAUUCUCGCGGGCAUGCCUGUCCGAGCGUCAUUUCAACCCUCAGGGCCCGCCUGCUUGCAGGCGCGGCGCUGGUGUUGGGGAUCGGCUACCCUGCCGUCCCCCAAAUACAGUGGCGGUCUCGCUGCAGCCUCCCCUGCGUAGUAGCAACACUCGCAUGCGGAGCGCGGCGCGGCCACGCCGUAAAACCCCCGACUUUCUGAACGUUGACCUCGGAUCAGGUAGGAAUACCCGCUGAACUUAAGCAUAUCAAUAAGCGGAGGA